GAUGAACGCUGGCGGUAUGCUUAACACAUGCAAGUCGAACGGACUCUUCGGAGUUAGUGGCGGACGGGUGAGUAACGCGUGAGAAUCUGGCUUUGGGUUCGGGACAACCACUGGAAACGGUGGCUAAUACCGGAUGUGCCGAGAGGUAAAAGAGAAAUUGCCUGGAGAUGAGCUCGGGUCUGAUUAGCUAGUUGGUGAGGUAAAGGCCCACCAAGGCAGCGAUCAGUAGCUGGUCUGAGAGGAUGACCAGCCACACGGGGACUGAGACACGGCCCAGACUCCUACGGGAGGCAGCAGGGGGGAAUUUUCCGCAAUGGGCGAGAGCGUGACGGAGCAAUACCGCGUGAGGGAAGAAGGCUCUUGGGGUGUAAACCUCUUUUCUUAGGGAAGAACAAAAUGACGGUACCUAAUGAAUCAGCAACGGCUAACUCCGUG
This 435-nucleotide ribosomal RNA is filed under the name uncultured bacterium. RNAcentral's name for it is "partial 16S ribosomal RNA". It matches the Rfam family "Bacterial small subunit ribosomal RNA", at positions 28 to 507 of the family's 1533-position model. The record is from RNAcentral.